CGAAGAACAGGCGCGGCCGCUCUCUGCUUGCAGGGGGAGGAAAGUCAGGACACCGUAGAGCAGAUCGGCUUCUAACGGGAGCCUAGGGUGACCUAGAGACAGUGCCACAGAAAACAAACCGCCCGCCGAAGCUUCGUGUGGAGGAUGGGUAAGGGUGAAACGGUGAGGUAAGAGCUCACCAGCGCCGAAGGCAACUUCGGCGGCUAGGUAAACCUCGGUUGGUGCAAGACCAAAUAGGAAAACCGCUUCGGGGCUUGCCCCGCGGCAGCAGCUGCUCGUUGUGUGAGUUUUCGGGUUGCGUCGCUUAGAUGAAUGGUCGCGGCGCGCUUCUGGCGUGAUACAGAAUCCUGCUUAUACUGCUCUUCGUCCC
Molecule: RNase P RNA, 370 nt
Filed under: Bdellovibrionales bacterium
Lineage: Bacteria; Pseudomonadati; Bdellovibrionota; Bdellovibrionia; Bdellovibrionales
Description: RNase P RNA component class A
Rfam family: Bacterial RNase P class A
About the family: Ribonuclease P (RNase P) is a ubiquitous endoribonuclease, found in archaea, bacteria and eukarya as well as chloroplasts and mitochondria. Its best characterised activity is the generation of mature 5'-ends of tRNAs by cleaving the 5'-leader elements of precursor-tRNAs. Cellular RNase Ps are ribonucleoproteins.
Source: RNAcentral